AUGCCACAACCAAAAGUCCACUAACAUCCGCACCCUCCCAGGAUCUUAACCUGCACCCAUCCUACUUCUCAUCUACCGUUUGUUUCCCGAGAAAAUUCGAAAAAGAAAAUUAAAAAUAAAAAACCGAAAAACACCGCACCCCGCUCUCUGUAUGGCGGUUCGAGCUUCCGUCUCGCGGUUCCCAAUCGACGCCGGAGCCCACGAGAGCUCAGGCAUCCCAUGGGGCGUUUUGGUGACGCCGUUCGGGACCAAGGACAAGAACGGCCAUUCGCCGGCGUACGGAUCGGACGGCCAGCUGCUGCCGAGGUGUGAGAACUGCUGGGCGUAUUUCAACACUUACUGCGAGCUGGAUCAGUGGUCGUGGAACUGAGCCCUGUGCGGAAACCCUCAGGGGCUUUCGUCUCAGGCCAUUGCUCGAUACUCCCACCCUGAGUCUUGCCCCGAGACGAUGUCCUCGUUCGUAGAUCUGGAGCUUCCUGGAGAAGAGUCGGAUGAAGCAAUGCAACCUCGCCCGGUUUGUGUUGCGGCCAUUGAUUUGUCCUCUUCAGAAGAGAAUUUUUGGAACUUACUAAAAGUGCAUUGCUGGCCUCUUUGUAAGCUCUUGGGCCCGGUUCUCUGUUUGGUCUUGCUACCUUUAGUCACAAAUUAGGGUUGUAUGAUGUUCAAGGACCUAUACCAGUUGUGAAGAAUGUUUUCAUUCCACCGGAAACAGAGGGCAACCUACCAUUUGAGCUUGAAGAUGUCAUGCCUUUGUUACAGUUUUUGGCUCCAGUGGAAACUUGUAAGGACCAUAUUAAAUCUGCACUUGAAGCGCUUAGGCCAGCAACUUCAUGGGAGAGAACUACAGCAGCUGGUCAGCAGACACCGUUCUACUAAGAUCUGGUAGUUUAAUCUUCCGUAUCAUUGUUAUUGUAUGCUGGGGAUUUAUUUUGGAAAUGCAAACAUUGACAUAUUUUACAGGCUGCUGUUGCUGUUCAAGCAGGUGCUUGCGUAGACAUUUUUGCUGUUACAAAUGAGUAUACAGAUUUGGCGUCUUUGAAGUUUCUAAAUGUAGACAGUGAUCCUGUCACUGCUUGUCAAUACAUGGUUAAUAUAUGGUCAUUACAAAGAGAUCAAUGAACAUAAAUAUGAGAAUUUUGUACAAAGAUGUACAUAUCAAUUGCGAAA
This is an RNA transcript of Pyrus x bretschneideri (Chinese white pear), 1167 nucleotides long. RefSeq lists it as uncharacterized. Lineage: Eukaryota; Viridiplantae; Streptophyta; Magnoliopsida; Rosales; Rosaceae. The transcript has 5 exons. The record is from RefSeq and is a predicted model, not a curated record.